AGCUUUGCGCAGAGGCAGUGUCGUACUCGAUGACGAGAACGGAGGGGCGGCUAUUGCUAGUUGAAAACUUUUGCCAAUACCCCGCCGGGACGUCGUGCAAUACCGACGGCCAUGGCAAUUUUUUGGUAAGCCCCACGGGGC
Non-coding RNA from Ixodes scapularis (black-legged tick), 141 nucleotides. NCBI's taxonomy places the organism in Eukaryota, Metazoa, Arthropoda, Arachnida, Ixodida, Ixodidae. The record is from Rfam.